Hordeum vulgare subsp. vulgare (domesticated barley) is the source of this 125-nucleotide non-coding RNA. The record is from Rfam. Lineage: Eukaryota; Viridiplantae; Streptophyta; Magnoliopsida; Poales; Poaceae.
CUAGUACUCCCUCCGUCCGGAAAUACUUGUCGGAGGAAUGGAUGUAUCUAGAUGUAUUUUAUUUCUGGAUACAUCAAUUAUUAUCCACUUUUAUGAUAAAUAAUUCCGGACGGAGGGAGUAUAUA